UGAGCGAUGGAUCUCUUGGUUCCUUGCAUCGUUGAAGGUCGCAGCGGAUUGCGAAAUGUUGGUCGUGUGAAUUGCAAGACACAUUGGCCCAUUUUUUGGGCUGCGGAACACCUUACUCACUGAACGUUUAUAUCGCU
RNAcentral lists this ribosomal RNA (137 nucleotides) under Virgulinella fragilis. Its description in RNAcentral is "5.8S ribosomal RNA". It matches the Rfam family "5.8S ribosomal RNA", at positions 6 to 117 of the family's 154-position model. Rfam says of the family: 5.8S ribosomal RNA (5.8S rRNA) is a component of the large subunit of the eukaryotic ribosome. Lineage: Eukaryota; Foraminifera; Rotaliida. The record is from RNAcentral.